GACGAACGCUGGCGGCGUGCUUAACACAUGCAAGUCGAACGGAAAGGCCCUGCUUUUGUGGGGUGCUCGAGUGGCGAACGGGUGAGUAACACGUGAGUAACCUGCCCUUGACUUUGGGAUAACUUCAGGAAACUGGGGCUAAUACCGGAUAGGAGCUCCUGCUGCAUGGUGGGGGUUGGAAAGUUUCGGCGGUUGGGGAUGGACUCGCGGCUUAUCAGCUUGUUGGUGGGGUAGUGGCUUACCAAGGCUUUGACGGGUAGCCGGCCUGAGAGGGUGACCGGCCACAUUGGGACUGAGAUACGGCCCAGACUCCUACGGGAGGCAGCGGUGGGGAAUAUUGCACAAUAGGCGGAAGCCUGAUGCAGCAACGCCGCGUGCGGGAUGACGGCCUUCGGGUUGUAAACCGCUUUCGCCUGUGACGAAGCGUGAGUGACGGUAAUGGGUAAAGAAGCACCGGCUAACUACGUG
RNAcentral lists this ribosomal RNA (468 nucleotides) under uncultured bacterium. RNAcentral's name for it is "partial 16S ribosomal RNA". It matches the Rfam family "Bacterial small subunit ribosomal RNA", at positions 28 to 507 of the family's 1533-position model. The record is from RNAcentral.